Cercocebus atys (sooty mangabey) is the source of this 1969-nucleotide long non-coding RNA. RefSeq lists it as uncharacterized. Lineage: Eukaryota; Metazoa; Chordata; Mammalia; Primates; Cercopithecidae. The record is from RefSeq and is a predicted model, not a curated record. The transcript has 3 exons.
UUCCCGAAGCACUGGGGUUGCAGGUGUGAGCCACUCUGGCUGGCCAUAAUCCUGGCUUUUAAUGCACAUAUUUGGCUUUCUUGCUUUCUUCACUGGCAUCUUCCUCUUGUCCCACAACAUAUUAUUCAGAAUUCUUCUUUGUUACAAAAAAAGUCUUUCUUAGCUCUUUAUUUUAAAUAGAAAGAUUCGAUCUAUAUUGCCAAGUGAAAAAAAGCAAGGCUCAGAGGGGAAAAAAUGUGUGUGGAAUGAUACUUGCCCCUUAGAAGUCAGGUAUCUUCUUUGAUUAGAGCAAGUAUUGAUUUUUGAGACUCCUCUAGUUAGGGAAGGUUGUCAUUCUACCAACAGCAAUGCUUUUGUGAUCUUUUUAGCAAUUCUUUGGCAACUUUCUCUUUCCCCCAGGAACUCUUGUCUUCUCUAUAUCUCUUAAUCUAAUAAAAAAUUAUUUUCAUGUUUUGCCUUAGGAGUCAGCUCUGUGAAGUUGUAGCUGAUUUUCUAGUUCAACAUCUAAUAGCUACCCAUGUAAAGGACUCAAGGAAGGAUUGAUACACACCUUAGACCUGAACCUACCUAGAACUCAGGCUUAGUACUAUACUUCUAUAUACCAAAUGGCUCCCAUGGAAGCGACUGGUCUGCCUGAGUUCCUUUAGCCCUCUGAAUUAAUCUAAACUAUCUGAGGCACGAUAAUACUGUGCAUUUUUAUUUCUGCAUCAUAUUAGCAGACCAGUGUUUCUUAAGCAAAAAAGCAGACAUGAUUAAAGUAUUUUAACUAGGUCCCUCCAUCUUUCAGAUAAAGGACUGUCAGAACUUGAUGGAAUCAACCAGGCGGUUGCUUCACUUUUCUAAACCAUGUCUUCAGCUGUGCCAUUCACUCCUUCCUUCCCCCUUUAGGGCAGUCAAAGUUCUUGCUCUCAACUGUCUUCCCUCUUUUUGGCAAUAUGUAGUUCAGCACUCUGAACACUAGCCUGGUACUCAAUAAAUAGUAGGUAUUCAAUAAAUGUAUCAAGUGAAUGGAUGAAAAGAAUGAAUUCUUACAAAGCAAAUUACUGAGAGGCUAUAGAAAGUGUUUCAUAUCAGACUUCCUUUAAGUCCUGUAAUGUUGUAAGGUAGGUAUUAUUGUCCCCAUUUUACAGAGGAACAAAUGAAGGCUCAGGGAACAAAGUGACUUUUUUCAGGUUUACCUAUCCACUUGUGGUAGCCUGUAUAAUCCGCCCCUGCAAACCCCCACCAGUGAUAUCCACAUCCUAAUCUCUAGAACCCACAGAUAGGUUACCUUAUGUGGCAAAAGGAGUUUUGCAGAUGUGGUAAAUUAAGGCUGUUGAGAUGGGAAGAUUAUCCUGGAUUGUUGGGGUGAGCCCAGUGCAAUCACGAGGGUUCUCAUAGAAGUGGGGCAGGGGGGUCAGCUGGAUAAAGGAAGACAAGGUGACAACAAAUGCUGAGGGGAAGGAAUGAAUGCAAGUGGCCUUCAGAAACUGGAACAGGCAAGGAUAAUGGAUUGCUCCCCGCAGCUGCCAAGCGGAAUGCAGUCCUGCCCACGUCUUGACUGCAGCCUGGAAAAACCACUUCGGACUUCUGACCUCCAGAAUGGUGACCUCAGGGAAGGAGGCUGGUUGUGGGAGGAGGCUCUCCCAGUGUCUGUAUAAUCCUGGCAUGAGUGUUGACAUGGAAGACAUUUAAUUCUGGAAAGAAAAUGUGCAGAACAGUGGAGAAGUGAAAUCAAGAUGGCAGCAAUAGAAAUAAAAAGAAAUGAUGGUCAAGAAACUCAGAAGAAUAAAUGGGUGAGAUCAGGACCAGGGCUGUGUGGCAGGUUGUAAGAAAAACAUGUUUUUGCUUCAUGUAAGCAAAAGAAACUGAGAAGUUAAGAACUGGAGAAGAUUCUAAUGGAGACGUAGAAUUACAACUGUGGAAGCAUGUGUUAAAAGAGAGCCAACACAGUAACCAAAACAGCAUGGUACUAGUACCAAAACAGAUA